RNAcentral lists this ribosomal RNA (250 nucleotides) under uncultured bacterium. RNAcentral describes it as "partial 16S ribosomal RNA". It matches the Rfam family "Bacterial small subunit ribosomal RNA", at positions 193 to 445 of the family's 1533-position model. The record is from RNAcentral.
CCUUACGGGGAAAGUUUUAAUGCCAAAAGAUGAGCCCGCACUUGAUUAGCUAGUUGGUAAGGUAAAAGCUUACCAAGGCAACGAUCAAUAGCUGUUCUUAGAGGAAGACCAGCCACAUUGGGACUGAGACACGGCCCAGACUCCUACGGGAGGCAGCAGUGGGGAAUCUUGCACAAUGGGGGAAACCCUGAUGCAGGGAUGCCGCGUGAGUGAAGAAAGCCUUUGGGUUGUAAAACUCUUUCGUCGGGGA